This 1186-nucleotide ribosomal RNA is filed under the name uncultured fungus. RNAcentral's name for it is "eukaryotic LSU rRNA". The stretch from base 539 to 1186 matches the Rfam family "Eukaryotic large subunit ribosomal RNA", at positions 1 to 667 of the family's 3401-position model. Lineage: Eukaryota; Fungi. The record is from RNAcentral.
CUUGGUCAUUUAGAGGAAGUAAAAGUCGUAACAAGGUCUCCGUUGGUGAACCAGCGGAGGGAUCAUUACCGAGUUACAAGCUCAAAACCCGCAUGUGGACAAGUACCGCUAUAGUUGCCUCGGCGAGCGACCCCAGGGCGGGGUCCGCGGCCAAUAAAGGCGCCCGCCGGUGGAAUACAAACUCAGUACCGUCAGCAGCUCUCUGAGAGGCGUUAAAAACGUAAAAACUUUCAACAACGGAUCUCUUGGUUCCGGCAUCGAUGAAGAACGCAGCGAAAUGCGAUAAGUAGUGUGAAUUGCAGAAUUCAGCGAACCAUCGAAUCUUUGAACGCACAUUGCGCCCGCCGGUAAUCCGGCGGGCAUGCCUGUUCGAGCGUCGUUUCACCGCCCAGGCCAGGCCUGGUGUUGGGUUCCUAGGGCGACCUAGGCCCCGGACUUUAAGUGGCGGCUCGCCCAGCUCCGAGCGAAGUAGUAAAAACCCCCGCUCAGGACGCCCCGGGCGCGGCCGGCCGUUAAACAACCCCUUAAUUUAACAGGUCGACCUCGGAUCAGGCAGGAAUACCCGCUGAACUUAAGCAUAUCAAUAAGCGGAGGAAAAGAAACCAACAGGGAUUGCCCCAGUAACGGCGAGUGAAGCGGCAACAGCUCAAAUUUGGAAUCUGGCCCUCCUGGGGGCCCGAGUUGUAACCUGAAGAGGAUGCCUCGGGCGAGGCGCCGACCGAGUCCCCUGGAACGGGGCGCCAUAGAGGGUGAGAGCCCCGUAUGGUCGGAGCGCCGAGCCCGUGCGAGGCUCCCUCAACGAGUCGAGUAGUUUGGGAAUGCUGCUCAAAACGGGAGGUAAAUCUCUCCUAAAGCUAAAUACAGGCCGGAGACCGAUAGCGCACAAGUAGAGUGAUCGAAAGAUGAAAAGCACUUUGGAAAGAGGGUUAAACAGCACGUGAAAUUGUUGAAGGGGAAGCGCCUGUGACCAGACCCGCGCCCGGCGGAUCACCCGGCGCCUAGCGCCGGUGCACUCCACCGGGCCCGUGCCAGCGUCGGUUCCGGCGGGGGGAUAAAGGCUUUAGGGACGUAGCUCCCCCGGGAGUGUUAUAACCUGCUGCGCAAUACCCCCGCGGGGACCGAGGUUAGCGUUUCCGCAAGGACGCUGGCCUAAUGGUUACCGGCGGCCCGUCUUGAAACACGGACC